This 465-nucleotide ribosomal RNA is filed under the name Vreelandella stevensii. RNAcentral's name for it is "partial 16S ribosomal RNA". It matches the Rfam family "Bacterial small subunit ribosomal RNA", at positions 338 to 795 of the family's 1533-position model. The record is from RNAcentral. Lineage: Bacteria; Pseudomonadati; Pseudomonadota; Gammaproteobacteria; Oceanospirillales; Halomonadaceae.
UCUACGGGAGGCUGCAGUGGGGAAUAUUGGACAAUGGGCGAAAGCCUGAUCCAGCCAUGCCGCGUGUGUGAAGAAGGCCUUCGGGUUGUAAAGCACUUUCAGUGGGGAAGAAAGCCUUGGGGCUAAUACCCUCGAGGAAGGACAUCACCCACAGAAGAAGCACCGGCUAACUCCGUGCCAGCAGCCGCGGUAAUACGGAGGGUGCGAGCGUUAAUCGGAAUUACUGGGCGUAAAGCGCGCGUAGGCGGUCUGAUAAGCCGGUUGUGAAAGCCCCGGGCUCAACCUGGGAACGGCAUCCGGAACUGGCAGGCUAGAGUGCAGGAGAGGAAGGUAGAAUUCCCGGUGUAGCGGUGAAAUGCGUAGAGAUCGGGAGGAAUACCAGUGGCGAAGGCGGCCUUCUGGACUGACACUGACGCUGAGGUGCGAAAGCGUGGGUAGCAAACAGGAUUAGAUACCCCAGUAGUC